GUGAAAAGAGUCGGGAGAAGGGUCCAGAGAUCAAAAGAAGACAAAGAUGUUAACAGAUCUUCCUGAGAACAAGAAUGUGGCAGCAGGAGGGAGACUUGUCAGAGCCAUCUAGGGUGACAGCGUGGAGGGCAGAGAGAGACCUCCAUACUCUAUAAGAACCCAGAAAGGCUCCAGAAGAAGAUGUUGCAGCCUUGAGCAGCUUCUUUCCUCGUGCCAUGGCUGGAAAAGUACCGUGUGUAAGACUGACAGAGUCCACAUCACAGCGGGGCCUUCUUUAAAUGCCUCCAAGGCUUGGAAAACAAAGAUUGCUCUAAGAUAUCUAACGCUGACCGCCUCUAACGAGAUGAACUCGGGGUUAUUCCCUCUCGCCGCUCCCUGCACGGCUGCUUAACCUCAACCUCUCCAC
This is a long non-coding RNA of Empidonax traillii (willow flycatcher), 406 nucleotides long. RefSeq lists it as uncharacterized. The record is from RefSeq and is a predicted model, not a curated record. The transcript has 3 exons. NCBI's taxonomy places the organism in Eukaryota, Metazoa, Chordata, Aves, Passeriformes, Tyrannidae.